RNAcentral lists this ribosomal RNA (412 nucleotides) under uncultured bacterium. RNAcentral describes it as "bacterial SSU rRNA". It matches the Rfam family "Bacterial small subunit ribosomal RNA", at positions 355 to 759 of the family's 1533-position model. The record is from RNAcentral.
UGGGGAAUUUUGGACAAUGGGCGCAAGCCUGAUCCAGCCAUGCCGCGUGCAGGAUGAAGGCCCUCGGGUUGUAAACUGCUUUUGUACGGAACGAAAAGCCUCUUUCUAAUAAAGAGGGGUGAUGACGGUACCGUAAGAAUAAGCACCGGCUAACUACGUGCCAGCAGCCGCGGCAAUACGUAGGGUGCGAGCGUUAAUCGGAAUUACUGGGCGUAAAGCGUGCGCAGGCGGUCUUGCAAGACAGUGGUGAAAUCCCCGGGCUCAACCUGGGAACUGCCAUUGUGACUGCAAGGCUGGAGUACGGCAGAGGGGGAUGGAAUUCCGCGUGUAGCAGUGAAAUGCGUAGAGAUGUGGAGGAACACCGAUGGCGAAGGCAGCCCCCUGGGCCUGUACUGACGCUCAUGCACGAAAG